This 375-nucleotide RNase P RNA is filed under the name Marseilla massiliensis. RNAcentral describes it as "RNase P RNA component class A". It matches the Rfam family "Bacterial RNase P class A". From Rfam's summary of the family: Ribonuclease P (RNase P) is a ubiquitous endoribonuclease, found in archaea, bacteria and eukarya as well as chloroplasts and mitochondria. Its best characterised activity is the generation of mature 5'-ends of tRNAs by cleaving the 5'-leader elements of precursor-tRNAs. The record is from RNAcentral. Lineage: Bacteria; Pseudomonadati; Bacteroidota; Bacteroidia; Bacteroidales; Prevotellaceae. RNAcentral also lists the same sequence under 1 other name.
GCAGUGUCUCGGUCUGCCGCUGGCACUUCGGUGCGAGAGGAAAGUCCGGGCAGCGCAGGGCGCUCCACUUCUGAAAGUAGAAGCUAUUGGUGACAGUAGGAUACGGCAGAAGAAAACAACCGCCAGCCAUCGUCAGGCUGGUAAGGGUGAGAAGGUGGUGUAAGAGACCACCAGCCACCGGGUGAUCGGUGGGCUGUGUCGUCUGGAGGCUGCAAGUUCAUGUAAACCAUCGGCUGAGGGUUGCCCGCCCGAUAUUUCCCGAUGGAGGGUAGAAUGCUUGACUUGUGUGGUGACGCACAAGCUAGAUAAAUGGCAGGCGCCACCGCCAUGGAAGUGGCGGUGGAACAGAACCCGGCUUACAGGGGCACUGCUUUC